GACGAACGCUGGCGGCGUGCUUAACACAUGCAAGUCGAACGCGAAAGGGAUUCGUCCCCAGUAGCGUGGCGUCCGGGUGAGUAACACGUAGGAAACCUUGCCUAGAGUGGGGGAUAACGUCCCGAAAGGGACGCUAAUACCGCAUAAGCCCACGUCGGCCUCGGCCGAUGCGGGAAAAGAAUGGCCUCUGAAUUCAAGCUAUCGCUCAAGGAUGGUCCUGCGGCGCAUCAGCUAGUUGGUGGGGUAACGGCCUACCAAGGCGAAGACGCGUAGCUGGUCUGAGAGGAUGAUCAGCCACACUGGCACUGAAACAACGGGCCAGACUCCUACGGGAGGCAGCAGUGGGGGAAUAUUGGACAAAUGGGCGGCAAGACCUGAUCCAGCCACGCCGCGUGAGUGAUGAAGGACC
RNAcentral lists this ribosomal RNA (409 nucleotides) under uncultured bacterium. Its description in RNAcentral is "bacterial SSU rRNA". It matches the Rfam family "Bacterial small subunit ribosomal RNA", at positions 28 to 417 of the family's 1533-position model. The record is from RNAcentral.